GAGUUUGAUCAUGGCUCAGAACGAACGCUGGCGGCGCGUCUUAAGCAUGCAAGUCGAACGGCAAGAAAGGAGCUUGCUCCUUUCCUAGAGUGGCGGACUGGUGAGGAACACGUGGGUAAUCUACCCUUGAGAUGGGGAUAGCCGUUAGAAAUAGCGGGUAAUACCGAAUAUUCUUAAAGUUUCACAAGAGAUUUUAAGGAAAGGAAGCUACGGCUUCGCUCGAGGAUGAGCCUGCGCCCCAUUAGCUAGUUGGUGAGGUAACGGCUCACCAAGGCGACGAUGGGUAUCCGGCCUGAGAGGGUGAUCGGACACAUUGGGACUGAGAUACGGCCCAAACUCCUACGGGAGGCAGCAGCUAAGAAUAUUCCGCAAUGGACGGAAGUCUGACGGAGCGACGCCGCGUGGAUGAAGAAGGCUGAAAAGUUGUAAAAUCCUUUUGUUGAUGAAGAAUAAGGGUAAGAGGGAAUGCUUAUCUGA
RNAcentral lists this ribosomal RNA (477 nucleotides) under Treponema sp. canine oral taxon 233. RNAcentral describes it as "bacterial SSU rRNA". It matches the Rfam family "Bacterial small subunit ribosomal RNA", at positions 9 to 472 of the family's 1533-position model. Lineage: Bacteria; Pseudomonadati; Spirochaetota; Spirochaetia; Treponematales; Treponemataceae. The record is from RNAcentral.